Molecule: ribosomal RNA, 488 nt
Filed under: uncultured bacterium
Lineage: Bacteria
Description: partial 16S ribosomal RNA
Rfam family: Bacterial small subunit ribosomal RNA
Source: RNAcentral
GAUGAACGCUGGCGGCGUGCUUAAUACAUGCAAGUCGAACGGAAAGACGAUGCUCUUGUGGCGUGGUCGUGUGGCGAACGGGUGAGUGUAACGUGAGUAUAAUGUACCUGUCAUAGGGAUAACUUCAGGAGAAUGGGGCUCAUAUCGGGUAGGAGCUACUGAUGCAUGGUGUGGGUUGGUAAGUUACGGUGGUUGGGGAUGGACUCGAGGUGUAUUAGCUUGAUGGUGGGGUAGAUGCUUAACAAGGCUACGAUGGGUAGCCGACCUGAGAGGGUGACCGGCCCCCCUGGAACUGAGACACGGUCCAGACUCCUACGGGAGGCAGCAGGAGGGAAUCUUCCGCAGUGGGCGAAAGCCUGACGGAGCAACGCCGCGUGAGUGAUGAAGGUCUUCGGAUCGUAAAACUCUGUUAUUAGGGAAGAACAAAUGUGUAAGUAACUAUGCACGUCUUGACGGUACCUAAUCAGAAAGCCACGGCUAACUACGUG